RNAcentral lists this non-coding RNA (142 nucleotides) under uncultured Bilophila sp. RNAcentral's name for it is "FMN riboswitch (RFN element)". It matches the Rfam family "FMN riboswitch aptamer (RFN element)". Rfam says of the family: The RFN element is a highly conserved domain that is found frequently in the 5'-untranslated regions of prokaryotic mRNAs that encode for flavin mononucleotide (FMN) biosynthesis and transport proteins. This element is a metabolite-dependent riboswitch that directly binds FMN in the absence of proteins. The record is from RNAcentral. Lineage: Bacteria; Pseudomonadati; Thermodesulfobacteriota; Desulfovibrionia; Desulfovibrionales; Desulfovibrionaceae.
UAUUCUCAGGGCGGGGUGAAAGUCCCCACCGGCGGUAUUCCCCCUAUCCGGGGGGAGAGCCCGCGAGCGCCCUCCACGUGGAGGGGUCAGCAGAUCCGGUGAGAGGCCGGAGCCGACGGUAACAGUCCGGAUGAAAGAGAAA